Molecule: ribosomal RNA, 500 nt
Filed under: uncultured bacterium
Lineage: Bacteria
Description: bacterial SSU rRNA
Rfam family: Bacterial small subunit ribosomal RNA
Source: RNAcentral
AGCGAAUAGAUACCCCGGUAGUCCACGCCGUAAACGAUGGAUGCUCGGCAUCUGGGGGGAGGAAAAAUACCCCUCGGGUGGCCUCAGCUGACGCGCAAGCAUCCCACCUGGGAACUACGAGCGCAAGCUUAAAACUACAAAGGAAUUGACGGGGGCCCGGCACAAGCAGCGGAGCGUGUGGUUUAAUUCGACGCAACACGCAGAACCUUACCCAGACUAGACAUGCUACUGCAAGCCGCUGAAAGGCGGUCGCCUUCGAGGGUGUAGCACAGAUGCUGCAUGGCUGUCGUCAGCUCGUGUCGUGAGAUGUUGGGUUCAGUCCCGCAACGAGCGCAACCCCCGCGGUCAGUUACACGUGUCUGGCCGGACAGCCCUUCGGGGUAGGAAGGUGGGGAGUGAUGUCAAGUCCGCAUGGCUCUUACGUCUGGGCAACACACACGCUACAAUGGCCGUCGCAGCGCGUUGCGACACAGUAAUGUGAAGCUAAUCGUCAAGGACGG